This 253-nucleotide ribosomal RNA is filed under the name uncultured bacterium. Its description in RNAcentral is "partial 16S ribosomal RNA". It matches the Rfam family "Bacterial small subunit ribosomal RNA", at positions 524 to 776 of the family's 1533-position model. The record is from RNAcentral.
GACGUAGGGCGCGAGCGUUGUCCGGAUUUAUUGGGCGUAAAGAGCUCGUAGGCGGCUUGUCGCGUCGACCGUGAAAACUUGGGGCUCAACCCCAAGCCUGCGGUCGAUACGGGCAGGCUCGAGUUCGGUAGGGGAGACUGGAAUUCCUGGUGUAGCGGUGAAAUGCGCAGAUAUCAGGAGGAACACCGAUGGCGAAGGCAGGUCUCUGGGCUGAUACUGACGCUCAUGCACGAAAGCGUGGGGAGCAAACAGG